This is a long non-coding RNA of Cercocebus atys (sooty mangabey), 169 nucleotides long. RefSeq lists it as uncharacterized. The transcript is spliced from 2 exons. NCBI's taxonomy places the organism in Eukaryota, Metazoa, Chordata, Mammalia, Primates, Cercopithecidae. The record is from RefSeq and is a predicted model, not a curated record.
UCAAGCAAUCCUCCUGCCUCAGCCUCCUAAAUUGCUGGAAUGAUUACAGGCAUGAGCCACCACACCUAGCCUCACUGACUUCAACUGCUUUUAAUCCCAUAUCUGCAGAGCUAAAAGAAUAUCAGCAGAGGAACAGCCUUGGUGAUCCGGCAGGAGCGAAGACAAAAAA